RNAcentral lists this transfer RNA (66 nucleotides) under bovine gut metagenome. The stretch from base 4 to 62 matches the Rfam family "tRNA", at positions 7 to 64 of the family's 71-position model. Rfam says of the family: Transfer RNA (tRNA) molecules are approximately 80 nucleotides in length. The record is from RNAcentral.
GGCGUGGCUCAACGGUAGAGCAGCUGAUUUGUAAUCAGCAGGUUGGGGGUUCGAUUCCCUCCAUCA